AUUGAAGUCGCUUAUGACUGAGUGGCGGACGGGUGAGUAACGCGUGGGUAACCUGCCUUGUACUGGGGGAUAACAGUUGGAAACGACUGCUAAUACCGCAUAAUGUAUUCUGACCGCAUGAUCGGAAUACCAAAGAUUUAUUGCUGAAAGAUGGCCUCGCGUCUGAUUAGCUAGUUGGUGAGGUAAUGGCCCACCAAGGCGACGAUCGGUAGCCGGACUGAGAGGUUGAACGGCCACAUUGGGACUGAGACACGGCCCAGACUCC
This 265-nucleotide ribosomal RNA is filed under the name uncultured Eubacteriales bacterium. Its description in RNAcentral is "uncultured Clostridiales bacterium partial 16S ribosomal RNA". It matches the Rfam family "Bacterial small subunit ribosomal RNA", at positions 66 to 339 of the family's 1533-position model. Lineage: Bacteria; Bacillati; Bacillota; Clostridia; Eubacteriales. The record is from RNAcentral.